AUUAUUCAAAUAAUAAAUUAUAUUAAAAGGGCCAAAUUGGCAAAUAAUACAUCAUACAUCUCAUGUCUCAAUAGGCUUUAAAUACAACAUUUAAGCUUUGCAUGGCAAAACUUAAAACUCUAAGCUUGAUUAGAAAGGCCGAGUGGCUAGUGCCAUAGGCAGGCAAUUCAAGCCCCCACAAAACAUUAUGGGGCCUUAAUUUUUUCCUCAAUUAUGGAGAUAAUCGAGUGAAGAUUUUAUUCUUCCUUUCAAAACGUGAGUAGAGUAAAUAUACGUCUCUUGAAUAUUAAAUAAUGUGAAAUUUAGUUAAUUAUCUAAUUGUAAAUAUCAGUAAUAAUUUGAUGUAGUAUCAGUAGUAAUCUUAUGUAAUAUAAAUUAGUCUCAUGUAAUUAAAAAAAAAAAGCUCGAUUACAGCAUCGGAAAAAAAUCCGUUUACAACUACGGUUAACAUCAUGAGAAAUACCAUAAAAAUUGACUCUAUUCACUAUAAAAUUCUUAUAACCCAGAGGAAAACUAACUUCAUGAUUGCACACCCUAAUAUUUAAUAAGGCAUUGGAGGAAUUUUUACCAUAAUCCUCGUAAAACUUCACCUUCUGAAUUAACUAAGUGGUUUGUAAAAAUAAAAUCAGAGCAUUAGUUUUCAAUUAUCUUUGUAUGCAAUCAUGUAUAUUGAUUGAGUCAUUUACCUAAAUAUAAAUAUGGACAUGUUCCAUAUGCAAUUAUGUAUAUUUUAAUUUUAUCAGUUUUUAGCUCUACUUUUAAACUACUCGUCUUUAUACUCACUUGGCUGAUUUUCGUAUUCUUUUGUCUAUCAGCUCAUUUAUAAAAUCUCGUCUCAGUCUUUUUUUUUUUUUUUUUUUGCGUGAAAUGAGUUGUUGAGAACUUAUUUUAUUCACUAACCAAUUUUUAGUCAAUCAACCUAUUUACAAGCUCUAGCGUCAGUAACGUUUAAAUAAACUUAUUGAGUUUCUACCCAUAAAAAUUAAACAGUUUAAUAAGGAAAUUUCAUCCUAAGGAAGAUAAAAGUAAAACCCAUCAAUAAUUAUAAUUAUAGGGAAUUCAAGAAGUGGUGGCAAAAUGGAGCCUACAAGAGGAAAUUAGUGAUGCAUACCGAUCUGGAAUAAUAAAUGAGAUGGGGUUUCUCACAGGAAUAACCUGCGAAUGAGGUAAUGCCAGUGAGCCUCCAAUGAAUGGCUACAACGUCAAUGAUUGAGAGACAAAGCCUUCUCGUUCAUGCACCAUGUUCGCUCGUUCUUCAAUCUUUAUACCCAAUUUUCAAUUUUUUUUUUGUUUUUUUGGUGGUGAAAUAUCGUGAUCCUUUCUAUUAUUGUUUAAUUAAUUUAUCAUUUUAUGCUACUUUGUCAUAAUAAAAUCAGCUUUUUAAUGGAGAGGAGGAAUGUGUAAACAAAAUGGUAAUGACCAAUGUGGUCCAAUACAGUAGCAUGCAUAUUAAUUGGAGCUUGGUUAAAAGAAUUUCCGCUCGCAAGCGCAUGGGUACCAAUUAGAUGAAGGCGGCCAACUGCCAGCUGCGCGUACGCAGACAGUACAGUGUCUCAAGUGUGUGGCCUAAAAUUAAAAUUGUCACCUCGAGUGCUCUAAAGAUCUAAGUCUUAACUCAAUGAAAUAACAAGAUAUGAAAGUGCCUUACUCAUCGUAUUAUCAUAAAAUUAGCUGCUCUAUUUUAAGAAGAAAUUGAUGAUCCAGAUCAAAACCACAAACUUGGGAGCAUUGUAAAUAAAUUAUUAUAUAUAUAUUUUUCCUAUUCAAAUAAUAUUGGGGGAAAAAAUUAAAAAAAUAAAAAAAAGGUCGCCAGGACCCCAACAAGCAGGAUGACCCAUCGGCCAUCCCAAUACUCGUGAUCUUCUAGUAGUUGAAUAAAAAGGGGCCCAAUCUCAAACAAAGAUGAAUCUUCAUCCGCACAUUCCUUAAUUUUCUCGCUCCAGUUCACCAUCAAAUCAGAUCAGGACCCGGCUGCUACCCGCGAUCAGGUGGGGUCCAGCACACAGUAGAAUGCCACGUUGGAGAAUAAAUAAUGGGGGGGGAACGCCUAACUUACAAUCAAUGUACCUUACGUUCUUUGUCUUUUUCUUUUUGGCAAAUAUCAUAUGAGCCCUCCUAAUUCUUUUUAUUUUCAAUUUUUACAGCUGUGGAUGUAUUUGUCUUCUUCCAUCCCUCCUAUCGAUUUUUUUAUUUUCUCUAAAGUUUUAUUUAUUUCUUUAAACAUUAUUAAAUGAUUAUCAAAUUCAUACAAAUCUAUAAAUUCAGAAUAAACUUCUGGUCCUAAAUUUAUUAAUCCUAGUCUUGAAUUGUAGGUUUAUUGCAUGUAAUUUAAUUAUAUAAUUAAAUUAAAGAGAAAUUAUAUAAAAAAUAUAAAAAAUAUACAUGACAGACUUCAAAAUUAACAUGCAAUAGCUUUCAGAAUUACCGUUAAAAUCAUUCCUAAGAAUUAAUUCUGAUUAAAGGGCAUUAUCAACAUAUACUCUGAUUAAUUCUGAUUAAUAGAUACCAUUUGAUAUUUUAAUUUACCAUUUUAAUUCAAUUAAUGUAGUUUCCAUAAAAUUCAAGGGUGCCAAUAGAUAUUUCACUUCUUGAAUGUAUGUUGCGUUACACGUAACCUAGGUUUGGCCAUUUGAUAAUCGUAUGUUAUUAUUUAAAAAAAUAAAAAGAACAUUGGAAAGAAUGAAAAAUAGAUGUAUAAUUGAUAAAAGAAGGCAAAUACAUCCAUAAACAUAAAGAAUACAAGGACUCGUGUGAAAUUCGCCAGAAGAAAAAAGACAAAAAACGUAAGUUACGCUUAACGUAACUUAGAGGCACCCAUAAUGGGGGGGGUUAAUAGUUGCAGGUGAUUAACUGAUUAUGUCCCGUAGUGGAGUUAACAACAAUUGGGAGCGAAGGCGAAGCCCCAGGCCUUGGCUUUCUCGGUGCCAGACAAAACACGUACCGCGAGCUGCCCACCUCUGACAAAUUUUUCACAAACACCCACCCGCAUUCUUUUUUUCUUUUCUUUUUUAUUUUCUGGUUUCUGUUUGAAACAAUGGGCUGACAGCCAAAACAUCGAUCCCUUUUCAUAUUUCUUCAAAUGAAAAUAUAAGUUGUUCAUUUGUGCCAUUUAGGUCCCAAGCUUGGCUUAUGCAGAUAACAAAAUUCCCCCUUCAGGCCACUAGUCGGGUGACACGACUUAAAAAUAUUUGAUUUUCUUCCAAGUAUAAGAGUGUUUAAUUAUAAUAUAUUUUGGUGAGUCCGAAAUUGAUCCACAGAGAAAUGAUUUAAUUUAUUUAUUUAAGUUUAUAAAAAAAUUAAAAUAAAAAAUAAAAAUAUGUAAUUUAGUUUAAGAAAAACUAUGAAAUUGAAUUAGUUAGGGUUAUUGAUCCACUCUUAGUAAUAAAUACAAUUUAACAAAUUCUUUUUAUUUUUUAUUACAUUUCUCAAAAGAUUAAUUGUAU
Molecule: long non-coding RNA, 3443 nt
Filed under: Citrus x clementina
Lineage: Eukaryota; Viridiplantae; Streptophyta; Magnoliopsida; Sapindales; Rutaceae
Description: Citrus clementina (C. clementina) long non-coding RNA (CCLE_LNC000117)
Source: RNAcentral